Molecule: ribosomal RNA, 484 nt
Filed under: uncultured bacterium
Lineage: Bacteria
Description: partial 16S ribosomal RNA
Rfam family: Bacterial small subunit ribosomal RNA
Source: RNAcentral
AUUGAACGCUGGCGGCAUGCUUUACACAUGCAAGUCGAACGGCAGCGCGGGCUUCGGCCUGGCGGCGAGUGGCGAACGGGUGAGUAAUACAUCGGAACGUGCCCAGUAGUGGGGGAUAGCUCGGCGAAAGCCGGAUUAAUACCGCAUACGACCUGAGGGUGAAAGCGGGGGAUCUUGGGACCUCGCGCUUUUUGAGCGGCCGAUGGCAGAUUAGCUAGUUGGUGGGGUAAAGGCCUACCAAGGCGACGAUCGGUAGCUGGUCUGAGAGGACGACCAGCCACAUUGGGAGUGAGCCACGGCCGAGACUCCUGCGGGAGGCAGCAGUGGGGAAUUUUGGACAAUGGGGGAGAGCCUGAUCCAGCAAUGCCGCGUGUGUGAUGAAGGCCUUCGGGUUGUAAGGCACUUUUGGCGGGAACGAAAAGGACUGUGCCAAUACCACGGUUCGAUGACGGUACCCGCAGAAUAAGCACCGGCUAACUACGUG